Molecule: ribosomal RNA, 411 nt
Filed under: uncultured bacterium
Lineage: Bacteria
Description: bacterial SSU rRNA
Rfam family: Bacterial small subunit ribosomal RNA
Source: RNAcentral
GACGAACGCUGGCGGCGUGCUUAACACAUGCAAGUGGAGCGACGAACCAGGCUUCGGCCUGGGGCAGAGCCGCGAACGGGUGAGUAACACGUGGGUAACCUGCCCUGAUGAUCGGGACAACCCGGGGAAACCCGGGCUAAUACCGAAUGUGCUGCUCUCGCAUCAGUGAGAGUAGGAAAGGAAGCUUCGGCCUCCGCAUCAGGAUGGGCCCGCGGCCCAUUAGCNGUUGGUGAGGUAACGGCUCACCAAGGCUUCGAUGGGUAGCUGGUCUGAGAGGAUGAUCAGCCUCAUUGGGACUGAGACACGGCCCAAACUCCUACGGGAGGCAGCAGUGGGGAAUAUUGGACAAUGGGCGCAAGCCUGAUCCAGCCAUGCCGCGUGGAUGAUGAAGGCCCUAGGGUUGUAAAGUCC